Long non-coding RNA from Catharus ustulatus (Swainson's thrush), 240 nucleotides. RefSeq lists it as uncharacterized. Lineage: Eukaryota; Metazoa; Chordata; Aves; Passeriformes; Turdidae. The transcript has 3 exons. The record is from RefSeq and is a predicted model, not a curated record.
UUCAGAGUGAGUUGCCAUCUUUGUCUGCAUGCAGCAGCAUUGCUGACUCCACUCCAUGGGUUUCAAAUCACUACCUGGGAAGCUGCUGUGGUUGGAGCUGCAGCAGACUGAUGGAUAAAUCUUCUAUCCCAUCCUCUUUGCUUAAUCUGGGAUUCUGAAAUAUAUUCAUGCAUCAGAAAAGAAGCCAAAUUCUGAAACAGACCUGAGAGUGUUGGGAGAAGCUACAAACUUCUGAUGUGG